Molecule: long non-coding RNA, 354 nt
Filed under: Ananas comosus (pineapple)
Lineage: Eukaryota; Viridiplantae; Streptophyta; Magnoliopsida; Poales; Bromeliaceae
Description: long non-coding RNA (ACOM_LNC044797)
Source: RNAcentral
UUUUUUGGGGGGCAGUUGAUUUUUAAUAAUCUAACUUGUAAAAAAAAUUUGAAAAUAUAAGGUAGAACUGGUAAAACAACAUGUGCGUGUGUGAGUAACUUUUGAAUUAAAGUUUCUUUAUGUUAAGUCGUUUUAUAGUUGCACGUGGAAUCGCUCGUUCGUCGGCACUGCCAAAUAAUACAGAAUCUAAUAUGCUGUGAAGAUAACAUAAAACACGCGGCAAAAUACUUCUGUAGUUGCUUUACUCUGUUACUAGCGCAAAAGUUUUGCACAAUUUAUUUGUUUUUAUUUUUAGUCGUUUUGCGGUUGCUCGUAGAAAUGCUAACGCAACUGCACUGUGAAACAGGGCUCAUU